This 723-nucleotide long non-coding RNA is filed under the name Rattus norvegicus (Norway rat). RNAcentral's name for it is "long non-coding RNA NONRATT018163". The record is from RNAcentral. Lineage: Eukaryota; Metazoa; Chordata; Mammalia; Rodentia; Muridae.
AGUCAAAGCUUCUGCAAGAUCUGGGAUGGCAUUGGAUCACGCAGGCCUUUGUAAGAGCUUCCACCACGGGAUUCAUUGUCACAACUCACAGGACCUAAGGAUGCUUUAUGUGCCUAAGGUCAUGGCCUCACAUCCCUACAUCCUCAGUGAUCCACAGCUCAGGGCCAAGCUGAACCUUCUAUUGCAAGAUCCUGCUACGGUUACGGAUUCAGAGAGCAUUUCCAACAAGUGAGUCAUCACCCAGGCCGUUGGCCUCAAGGAGACCUGGAACAAGUUUGUGGCAGUUCUGAUGUACCAGCUGCUCUCUGACUCCAAUGCUUCAUGGUGCCCAUGAGAACUGAGCAUCUGCUGUUCCGGGCCUUGUGACUCUGCAUCCAUGACUCAGACUGCCUCCCAACUUGCCAAGUCUCUCUACUGCUGUUUUCUAUCUUUACUCUCAGUUGCUACCUCAGUUUUUCUUCCUUCUCUGAUCCCUGCAGGGCAUGAGGCUGAAUGAUUAGCCAAUCCUUUCCAGUGGCAUAGUCUCUGUAGGUACCAAGGGUCUCCACCUAAAUCCAGUGAGGUCAAAAGCCUCUGGUCUGCUUCCCUACAUGUAGUUACUUUGGUCAGUACUGUUUUCCUGUAUUAUCCAUGUGAGCAGAAUGGCACGGGCUGUGACACACUUCAUGGUAGAAUCUGGAACCUGUGGGGAUGUGUGGGUGGCUGAGUACUUGAAGUCCCUGA